AUCAUUCUGUCCAGAUCCUAGACUAUUUCCGUCGCCCCCUUCAGGCGUACUCCCCCUCGGCGUCAGAGGCGAGCAGCGACCUCGUUUCUGUCACUGUACUUCUGCUUGGUCUAGAACUUGAUGUAAAUAGAAUGAUUUAAUAUCUACUUUUCUGUCUUCCUUCUUUCCCUCUACUCCAGGUUUUUGAGAUCCGUCUGUCAGUGUUUUGGUUUGUUUUUGUUCUUGUUUAGUUCUUUUAAAAGGCAGGAGUCACUGUCGACUUUGUAUCAAAGCUGUGUUUAUGUCUGUGUGUCUCCACCCAAGUACAGCCCUUGGUACAGAACAUGCCAAAGCAGAAUAGACUCCACGGAAGAGGGAAACGUGUAGGGGAGUGUGUGAAAGAUGGCACACGGAGGAGAGCGCAGUCUGGCGGGAGGCGGCCAGAACACAACUCUGCUUUCGGUGAGCGCAGCUUGGAGAGCUCUCUCUGCUCAGCCUCGGAAACACAGCGCAAGAAAAGGGAGUUUAAGAUACCGGUACUUGCAACAAAUGUUUCCCCAGCACACACCUGUCCAGGCUUUGUGCCACUGUGCUGGGAGAGACAGAUUCGUGUGACAUCUGCACGCAGGGACUUCGCAGGUUAGAGAGGUUACACACCAGGGUAACAAGCCAUGCGGUGCCCAACAAAAAGUCCAGGAACAGAAGUUCCUCCAGGGGACAAAGCACAGGACAGAGGUGCACACCCAUGACGGGACAAGGUGAAGACGCCAAGCCCAGGAGAGGUGACGCCUGAGCUGGUUCUUCAGGAGUUUUAAUCAACAAAUGGGCUAAAUGUGUUCAAAGCAGGUCAGGGUGCACUAGGGGGUGUGAAGGGGUAUGAGAAAUGUGCUCACCCACAGGACCUCGCAAUCUGCAGUCAGAAAAGGCAGGAAGUAAAAUUUAAGUGAAUUCACUGCUCUUGACUUAACCUUUCAUAUCACACUGUGACAGCGUCGUGGAUAUAUGUGUCACUUGCCAGGUAAGAAUGGUGAGAUGUCUUUGUCGCAUGUCCUAGAACUCUGCCGUAAUGAAUUGAGUGAGGUCCUGUUGUUGAGAGUUUAUCGUGGAAGAUAAAUCUGAGCAGUCACCUGGCCAUGAGUCCUGGGGUCCAGCUUCAUGAUCCAAAUCUAUGCUGGUCAGGCUGUGGUUUGGUGCCCCCUCAUGGUAAUUGUCUGCUCUACUUUGACUACUGAUGGUGAAUCAUUUGGGGUCCGGUUACUGGCUGGGACCUCAAAAAUCGCACAAGUCUAGGGCUCUUGAGGGCACCUAUUGAAUUCUUUUACUUUGAGAGAGAGAGGGGAAAGAGAGAGAGAAUCCCAAGCAUGCUCUGUGCUGUCAGCGCAGAGCCCGAUAGGGGGCUCAGUCUCAUCAACUGUGGGAUCGUGACCUGAGCUGAAAUUGAGUUGGUCGCUUAGCCAACUGAGCCACCCAGGCGCCCCUCCACCUAUUUCUUUUAAGAUGUGAGUUUUAGGGGCGCCUGGGUGGCUUAGUCGGUUGAGCGUCUGACUUUGGCUCCGGUCAUGAUCUCCUGGUUUGUGAGUUUGAGCCCCAUGUUGGGCUCUGUGCUGACAGCUCAGAGCCUCGGGCCUGCUUCGGAUUCUGUGUCUCCCUCUUUCUCUGCCCCUCCUGCACUCAUGCUCUGUCUGUCUCUGUCUCUCUCUCUCUCAGUAAUAUAAUAAAUAAAUGUUUAAAAAUUAAAAAAAAAAAAAAAAAGAUGUGAGCUUUGGCCCAGGGGUGUGCAGCCUGUAGGGGCAGAAUUGCCCUCAGAGUGUAUUCAGUGGCACCACAGCUAUUGAGCUGCUGGCUCUUGGGCCAGUGAGGUGGGAAACCGAACGUGGGACUCCCAUGCUGAGCCAAGAUCCUCAGAUAGGCUGAAGGGUCCCAGGUUCAUGGUGCCUCUCAGAUACCAGUGGAGGAAAGCUUCCCCUACUUAGAUCUGUGGUGUUCCUGUUUAUAAAGUCAGGCGGUGAGCUUACAGAGAUCACCAGGCACACAGAAAGCUCUCACUGAAUGAGGGUCAAAGAGAACAGCAAACAGUGCACAUCAACCUCAGAAUUCAGAUAAUGAAAUUACCAGAUAAUGCAGGCAAGGGAGUAGUUCUGUAUGAAGCGUGUACAGGAAUGAGAAAGCAAUAAAAGGCUAUCAGGUAUGAGCAGGCACAGUUUUUAAAAGACAACUUUUAGAAAUUAAAAGUAUAUUUGUUGAUAGAAUCCACUGGGUAGGUUAAAUAGCAAAUUAGACACUGCUGAAGAAGGCAUUAGUGUAGUGGAAGAUACAUCCAAGGAAAUCCAGAAUACCACACACACAAGGGGAUGGAAAACAUAAAGGAAAUGUUAAAGGAUUUGUAAAGCAGAAUAAGAAGGUCUGGCAUGGACCUGACAGGAGCCCCAGGAGGAGAGAGUGAAGGAGAGGACACCCAGUGAGGGCCUGCAGUGACAAGCCUCACGAUUAGGCAAAUUCCAACUUCAUCAGCGGCUGGCUGCCACAGCCCACCCGGUCCCUCUGCUCCAGCCAAGCUCAAGCUCUCAUAUUGUACAAGGUUAAGGAUGGAGGUGAAGGUAGGUCAGGCAGGGAGACGUCAUCCAACCCCACCAGGGGAAGAUGAGUGUUUGCACUCCCAAUUUUAACCAGUCCCCAUAACUGGGCCAACAAAAUAAUCAACGAUAGGAAAAGGACACUGAAAUCAUUACCAACAGCCUGGAAGUUCCAGCCACCCUCAAGACCCAAAACCAUCACCUUCGAUAGUUAAGUCAUAAAAGGCAACUGCAAACAAGUAGUGCCAAUCCACAGCUGAGAGCCUGGAGGGGGCUGGCAUGUAUGAAGGCUCGCUCCAUUCUUCACGAGGACGAGAUUCUGCGCUUCACAGGACUGAACUGUUUCGGAUCCCCAUUUACAGUAUUCCUACAAGCUUUUCUUUAUUUAAUAAAAAACAUAAAUUCCCAGGUCUGGGAAGCAUGAUGGAGGAAGCAGCAUAAAUAAAGAGAAAUCUACACCUAAACACAACACAGUGAAAGCACAGACCAGCAAGAAGAGAUCUUUAUGUCCGAGAGACUCAAUCACCCACAAAGCAGCCAUGGUCACACCAUCGGUCGAGUUCUCAAAGCAACAGAGGCAGCAGUCGUUUGGUGCCUUCGACGUGCUGGGAGGAGACCCCUAGAACUGCAUGCCCGGCAAAAUUAUUGUUCAUAAAGAAGGUGAACAUGGACAUUUACAGACACAUAAAAUAUACGACAGUUUAUCACUGGAGCUUUGACUGAAACAGCCUCUCCAGUUUACACUGCAAAACGAAGGCAAAUGAUAGAAUAAUGGUCUUCGACACGAGGUGGAGCGGUGAGCAAACAAAAUGACUGAUAUGAACUAGGUCCAAGCACCACAUAUAUCGAAGAGGGACGUCGACUGAAACACUGAACAACAAAGCACGUCUGCUAGAAGGGGGUGUAAAUGCUUUGAGAUCCUCCGACAGUUGGGAAGGGGUGUAAGACUCUAAUAUUUGAUAAAUAUGUGUAAUAUAGGGGUUCCUGGGGGCUCAGUCAGUUAAGUGUCCAACUCUUGGUUUCGGCUCAGGCCACCAUCUCAUGGUUCAUGAGUUCGAGCCCUGCGUCAGGCUCUGUGCUGACAGUGCAGAGCCUGCUUGGGAUUCUCUCCCCCUCUCUCUGACUCUUCCCCAUUUGUGCUAUCUCUGUUUCUCUCAAAAUAAAUAAACUUUAAAAAUAAAUAAAUAGAAGCA
Long non-coding RNA from Neofelis nebulosa (Clouded leopard), 3745 nucleotides. RefSeq lists it as uncharacterized. Lineage: Eukaryota; Metazoa; Chordata; Mammalia; Carnivora; Felidae. The record is from RefSeq and is a predicted model, not a curated record. The transcript is spliced from 2 exons.